This 1384-nucleotide unclassified non-coding RNA is filed under the name Hevea brasiliensis (rubber tree). The record is from RNAcentral. Lineage: Eukaryota; Viridiplantae; Streptophyta; Magnoliopsida; Malpighiales; Euphorbiaceae.
CCAGAAUUUUAAAAGGAAAAUAUUUUCCUUAUUUAGAUUUUUUGCAUGCUAAUUCAGGGAAUCAUCCAUCUUGGGGAUGGCAAAGCAUCUUGUGGGGAAGGCAAAUACUGUUGAAGGGUAUUCAAUGGCAUGUAGGCAAGAGGGAUUCUAUCUUAUGCAAAGAGGAUAAAUGGAUUCCUUUAUCUUUUCCAGAUGCCCCAGGAGUUAAACAAGACCAUAAUCCAAACAUUGUUUGGGUCUCUCAACUUAUAAAUCAGUCUAUAAAUGACUGGAACAGGCAGAUCCUUAAGGAGAAUUUCACAGAAGAGGAAGUAAAAUAUAUUCUCUCUAUUCCUUUGAGCUUAUUUGAGCAAGAAGAUAAAUACAUCUGGCACUUUGAUAGAUAUGGUUUAUAUUCGAUGAAAUAUGGUUAUUAUGUAGCCCGUGAUAUUCAAAGGAUAAUGUCUUCUUCCCAUCAUUUAAAUGCAGGUUCUAGUUCUCAAGUUGCAGUUGAGGUUUUUUGGAAGAGUGUAUGGAAAAUCCAUUUGCCUCCUAAAUUAAAAAUUUUCCUCUGGUCUUUGCUGCAUGACAAAUUGCCCACUAAUGAUCUGAUUCAUGUAAGACUGCCUCACUUUGAUCCAAACUAUAGAUUCUGUGGUGAAGUGGAUAAUGUCAAACAUUUAUUGUUUUCAUGCCAUCAUGCAGCAUCAAUUUGGAUCGACUCCCCUCUCUGGCUUAGAUCUUCAUUGUUUUAAGCUCUAGAUAUUAAAGAUUGCUGGUUGGAAUUAUUAUCGCCUCUUAAGUAUCAUUGUGAUAGACAGAAUCUUAUCUAGAUUGCUGUUUUUAUUAUGUGGCACAUUUGGAAAAGUAGGAAUGCUUUUGUGUUUCAAAAUAUCAGGCAUAAUCCUGCAGAGACUAUAGCUCUAGCCCUUCAGCAUCAUGAAGAGUUUGCUAAUGUGGAAUCCCUUCAGAUUUGUGCUCCUGUGGAAUCUGUUGAUCAUGCUGUGUUCUGGACCCCUCCUCCUCAACAUUGUAUUAAGCUGAAUUUUGAUGUUGCAGUUGACAGGUUUAGACAGAGAAGUUCUAUUGUUGUUAUUGCUAGAAAUUGGGAAGGCAAGCCUGUGGACUGGUGCUGUAAAGUUUUAUAUUCAGUUUGGGAUCCAUUAGUGCUUGAGGGUCUGGCUUGUAGAGAGGCUAUGCUACUAGGUAUUAGUAGGAAUUUUCAUUCGAUGAUGGUGGAAGGGGAUUCUUUAAUGAUCAUUGAAGCUGUUAGCAACAAUAUGGCUCCGUUAUCAAUUCAAAGCAUUAUUCAAGACAUUUGUCAGCUUGCUAAUAGGUUCAACUUGGUUUCCUUUUCCCAUGUAAAACGAUCAGGUAACCAGUUUGCAUAUGAUCUCAAAGCUCA